UUGCUUCUCUGAUGUUAGCGGCGGACGGGUGAGUAACACGUGGAUAACCUACCUAUAAGACUGGGAUAACUUCGGGAAACCGGAGCUAAUACCGGAUAAUAUUUUGAACCGCAUGGUUCAAAAGUGAAAGACGGUCUUGCUGUCACUUAUAGAUGGAUCCGCGCUGCAUUAGCUAGUUGGUAAGGUAACGGCUUACCAAGGCAACGAUGCAUAGCCGACCUGAGAGGGUGAUCGGCCACACUGGAACUGAGACACGGUCCAGACUCCUACGGGAGGCAGCAGUAGGGAAUCUUCCGCAAUGGGCGAAAGCCUGACGGAGCAACGCCGCGUGAGUGAUGAAGGUCUUCGGAUCGUAAAACUCUGUUAUUAGGGAAGAACAUAUGUGUAAGUAACUGUGCACAUCUUGACGGUACCUAAUCAGAAAGCCACGGCUAACUACGUGCCAGCAGCCGCGGUAAUACGUAGGUGGCAAGCGUUAUCCGGAAUUAUUGGGCGUAAAGCGCGCGUAGGCGGUUUUUUAAGUCUGAUGUGAAAGCCCACGGCUCAACCGUGGAGGGUCAUUGGAAACUGGAAAACUUGAGUGCAGAAGAGGAAAGUGGAAUUCCAUGUGUAGCGGUGAAAUGCGCAGAGAUAUGGAGGAACACCAGUGGCGAAGGCGACUUUCUGGUCUGUAACUGACGCUGAUGUGCGAAAGCGUGGGGAUCAAACAGGAUUAGAUACCCUGGUAGUCCACGCCGUAAACGAUGAGUGCUAAGUGUUAGGGGGUUUCCGCCCCUUAGUGCUGCAGCUAACGCAUUAAGCACUCCGCCUGGGGAGUACGACCGCAAGGUUGAAACUCAAAGGAAUUGACGGGGACCCGCACAAGCGGUGGAGCAUGUGGUUUAAUUCGAAGCAACGCGAAGAACCUUACCAAAUCUUGACAUCCUUUGACAACUCUAGAGAUAGAGCCUUCCCCUUCGGGGGACAAAGUGACAGGUGGUGCAUGGUUGUCGUCAGCUCGUGUCGUGAGAUGUUGGGUUAAGUCCCGCAACGAGCGCAACCCUUAAGCUUAGUUGCCAUCAUUAAGUUGGGCACUCUAAGUUGACUGCCGGUGACAAACCGGAGGAAGGUGGGGAUGACGUCAAAUCAUCAUGCCCCUUAUGAUUUGGGCUACACACGUGCUACAAUGGACAAUACAAAGGGCAG
This 1185-nucleotide ribosomal RNA is filed under the name Staphylococcus aureus. RNAcentral's name for it is "bacterial SSU rRNA". It matches the Rfam family "Bacterial small subunit ribosomal RNA", at positions 78 to 1249 of the family's 1533-position model. The record is from RNAcentral. Lineage: Bacteria; Bacillati; Bacillota; Bacilli; Caryophanales; Staphylococcaceae.